CCACCCUUUUUAUUUUUAUUCCUGGUUCAGGACGAACGCCGGCGGCGUGCCUAAUACAUGCAAGUCGAGCGGACAGAUGGGAGCUUGCUCCCUGAUGUUAGCGGCGGACGGGUGAGUAACACGUGGGUAACCUGCCUGUAAGACUGGGAUAAUUCCGGGAAACCGGGGCUAAUACCGGAUGGUUGUCUGAACCGCAUGGUUCAGACAUAAAAGGUGGCUUCGGCUACCACUUACAGAUGGACCCGCGGCGCAUUAGCUAGUUGGUGAGGUAACGGCUCACCAAGGCGACGAUGCGUAGCCGACCUGAGAGGGUGAUCGGCCACACUGGGACUGAGACACGGCCCAGACUCCUACGGGAGGCAGCAGUAGGGAAUCUUCCGCAAUGGACGAAAGUCUGACGGAGCAACGCCGCGUGAGUGAUGAAGGUUUUCGGAUCGUAAAGCUCUGUUGUUAGGGAAGAACAAGUGCCGUUCAAAUAGGGCGGCACCUUGACGGUACCUAACCAGAAAGCCACGGCUAACUACGUGCCAGCAGCCGCGGUAAUACGUAGGUGGCAAGCGUUGUCCGGAAUUAUUGGGCGUAAAGGGCUCGCAGGCGGUUUCUUAAGUCUGAUGUGAAAGCCCCCGGCUCAACCGGGGAGGGUCAUUGGAAACUGGGGAACUUGAGUGCAGAAGAGGAGAGUGGAAUUCCACGUGUAGCGGUGAAAUGCGUAGAGAUGUGGAGGAACACCAGUGGCGAAGGCGACUCUCUGGUCUGUAACUGACGCUGAGGAGCGAAAGCGUGGGGAGCGAACAGGAUUAGAUACCCUGGUAGUCCACGCCGUAAACGAUGAGUGCUAAGUGUUAGGGGGUUUCCGCCCCUUAGUGCUGCAGCUAACGCAUUAAGCAUUCCGGCCUGGGAUUACGGCCGCC
Molecule: ribosomal RNA, 911 nt
Filed under: Bacillus velezensis
Lineage: Bacteria; Bacillati; Bacillota; Bacilli; Caryophanales; Bacillaceae
Description: bacterial SSU rRNA
Rfam family: Bacterial small subunit ribosomal RNA
Source: RNAcentral